UGCCUGGUGGCUGAGAUGGUUAAGAAUCUGCCUGCAAUGCAGGAGACCCAGGUUUGAUCCCUGGAUGGGAAG
Bos taurus (domestic cattle) is the source of this 72-nucleotide non-coding RNA. The record is from Rfam. NCBI's taxonomy places the organism in Eukaryota, Metazoa, Chordata, Mammalia, Artiodactyla, Bovidae.